Molecule: long non-coding RNA, 557 nt
Organism: Grus americana (Whooping crane)
Lineage: Eukaryota; Metazoa; Chordata; Aves; Gruiformes; Gruidae
Exons: 4
Source: RefSeq, a predicted model, not a curated record
AGUCGUUUCUGAGAAGGGAGCCAACCUCUUCCAGUAAGAAAGUGGUUUCUACCUGUCUUUCCUGCCUGUGAGAUCCUUUGUGAAUGAAGGGGAACACGAGAAAGGGCAGUUUGUUGCUACAGUGAUUCAGAGAAAGAGGUACUGCUGCUGUGCAUGCCGCUGCUGCUGCUGCUGAUCUCGCUGGUGCUGCUGCAGCUUCAUGUAGCAGACUAUAGUGACCCAGUCAGUUGAAGAUUGUGGUGAAUGAGGCCAGCUAAAGUCUGAACUCCACUCACGGAACAUCUUGGAAGAUGUGGCAUCAUAUUCACAGACAGUGAAGAGUUCAACAUCAACGAAAAAAAGGCAGAGCACUAUGCAGCUACCCGGAGGGUGUUGAUUGAAACUUAGAUUACCCCCAAAUCACUGUUGAUUUGACUGAUGCUCCAGCUUUACCAGAGAAAAGAUUUCAAUUAAGGUCCCUUUAGAUGGAAUUUAAUGCGGCAAAAACCUUGUCAUCAGAAGGAUUAAUGCCUGCAUUAGCAUUUCCGCAAUAAAAUCAGAAGCUAAGUGGUGGAGGC